Armillaria borealis is the source of this 73-nucleotide non-coding RNA. Lineage: Eukaryota; Fungi; Basidiomycota; Agaricomycetes; Agaricales; Physalacriaceae. The record is from the annotation of a GenBank genome assembly.
GGUUCAAUGGUCUAGUGGUUAUGAUUUGUGUCUCACACACACAAGGUCCUGAGUUCAAGUCUCAGUUGAAUCA